RNAcentral lists this ribosomal RNA (245 nucleotides) under uncultured bacterium. Its description in RNAcentral is "partial 16S ribosomal RNA". It matches the Rfam family "Bacterial small subunit ribosomal RNA", at positions 796 to 1041 of the family's 1533-position model. The record is from RNAcentral.
CAUGCCGUAAACGAUGACAACUGGCUGUCGGCGAUAUACCGAUCGGUAGCGAAGCGAAAGCGUUAAGUUGUCCACCUGGGGAGUACGACCGCAAGGUUGAAACUCAAAGGAAUUGACGGGGGCCCGCACAAGCGGAGGAACAUGUGGUUUAAUUCGAUGAUACGCGAGGAACCUUACCCGGGCUCGAACGGUGCAGGAAUACAGGAGAGAUUCUGUAGCAUAGCAAUAUGUCUGCAUCGAGGUGC